AGCGAACGUUUGCGGCGGGCCUAACACAUGCAAGUCGAACGCACUAGCAAUAGUGAGUGGCGCACGGGUGCGUAACACGUGGGUAAUCAACCCUUCAGCUUGGGAUAACGACUUGAAAGGGUCGCUAAUACCGGACACGGCGCGAGAGGCUUCGGCAUCUCACGAGAAAGCCUCGCAAGGGGCACUGAAGGACGAGCCUG
This 200-nucleotide ribosomal RNA is filed under the name uncultured bacterium. RNAcentral's name for it is "partial 16S ribosomal RNA". It matches the Rfam family "Bacterial small subunit ribosomal RNA", at positions 29 to 233 of the family's 1533-position model. The record is from RNAcentral.